This 165-nucleotide ribosomal RNA is filed under the name Cardiocrinum giganteum var. yunnanense. Its description in RNAcentral is "5.8S ribosomal RNA". It matches the Rfam family "5.8S ribosomal RNA". From Rfam's summary of the family: 5.8S ribosomal RNA (5.8S rRNA) is a component of the large subunit of the eukaryotic ribosome. Lineage: Eukaryota; Viridiplantae; Streptophyta; Magnoliopsida; Liliales; Liliaceae. The record is from RNAcentral.
UGUACGAAUCUCGGCAACGGAUAUCUCGGCUCUCGCAUCGAUGAAAAACGUAGCGAAAUGCGAUACUUGGUGUGAAUUGCAAAAUCCCGUGAACCAUCGAGUCUUUGAACGCAAGUUGCGCCCGAGGCCUUUCGGUCGAGGGCACCCCUGCCUGGGCGUCACGCC